This 645-nucleotide ribosomal RNA is filed under the name Acarospora socialis. Its description in RNAcentral is "SSU rRNA". It matches the Rfam family "Bacterial small subunit ribosomal RNA", at positions 385 to 1114 of the family's 1533-position model. Lineage: Eukaryota; Fungi; Ascomycota; Lecanoromycetes; Acarosporales; Acarosporaceae. The record is from RNAcentral.
GCUAGUUGUAUUAUUAGUUAAUGCAAGAUCGACUACGUCGACUAAAGUUCUAGGUAGAAUAAUGAUGAUGACAAUUUUUUACCUAUAUGUCUUGACCAAGUCUCGUGCCAGCAGUCGCGGUAAUACGUGGAAGACUAGUGUUAUUCAUCUUUAUUAGGUUUAAAGGGUACCUAGACGGUAUUUCUAGCCCAAAAUAGGGUACGGAUUUACUAGAGUUUUAUGUGAGGAGGGGAGUACUCGUGGAGUAGAGAUGAAAUUUUGUUAUACUAUGAGGUAACUGGUGGCGGCGAAAGCAACCUUCUAUGUAUAAACUGACGUUGAGGGACGAAGGCUUGGGUAGCAAAUAGGAUUAGAUACCCUAGUAGUCCAAGCAGACAAUUCUGAAUGCCAUAGAUUAGAUUAUUUUUGGUCUAUAAAUGAAAGUGUAAGCAUUCCACCUUAGGAGUAAUGUGGCAACACAGGAACUGAAAUCAUUAGACCGUUUCUGAAACCAGUAGUGAAGUAUGUUAUUUAAUUUGAUGGUCCACAAAAAACCUUACCACAACUUGAAUAUUUUUAAAUUAAUACAAGAGUUGCACGGCUGUCUUCAGUUAAUGUCGUGAGAUUUUGGUUAACUCCAUUAAUUAACGUAAACCCUUACUUUAU